GUGACCAAUAAUAAAAUCUGAUGGCACUUGGAUAUGACAGUAGAUAAGUGGACACUACUGAUCUUUCUAAGAUACAUGCUCCUUUAUGUAAUGUAACUCAAGUGAUUGAGCAAUUAAUACAAAACAUAGGCACUUAUCAUGCUGUGUUAGAUUUAGCUAAUGCCUUCUUUAGCAUCCCUUUUACCCUGACUUGCAGUCAUUAUAUUGAUGAUACUCUAACUUCUGAAGACUUGUCAUUGCUACAGCAACACGGAGAUGCAUUGACACCCUUCUUCAAUCCAGAGGAUGGGCCAUCAACUCACAAAAGUACAAGGCCUGGAACCAGCUGCAAAGUUCCUAUGGAUCACUUGGCCAGGUCUAAAUUUAUUUAGCAGAAAUAGAAUGGAACACAUGAAAAGGAGAAAAAAUGUACAUUUUUUCAAGAUAAUUUUCAGACUUUGCAAACAAUUAUAUUGUAUAAGUGAAUAAAACCAAAUCAGAGUAAUAAAGAUAUGUAAUUGGGCUACAUAGAUGGAGAUUUACAAUACACUGGAAACGGAGAGAGAAAGGUGGGUGAUAAAUUACUCUUUUUAAUAUGAUUUUAUUGUUUUGCAUAUUUCUUUCUUUAAAUACACUACCUACAAGUAUAGACAAAGAUGAAAAUAUGGGUUGACAAACAGGUGCUCAUUAUUUAGAAGAAAUAUAAGAUUUAAAUUC
Molecule: long non-coding RNA, 696 nt
Filed under: Homo sapiens (human)
Lineage: Eukaryota; Metazoa; Chordata; Mammalia; Primates; Hominidae
Description: non-protein coding PWRN1:15
Source: RNAcentral